Molecule: ribosomal RNA, 465 nt
Filed under: Vreelandella stevensii
Lineage: Bacteria; Pseudomonadati; Pseudomonadota; Gammaproteobacteria; Oceanospirillales; Halomonadaceae
Description: partial 16S ribosomal RNA
Rfam family: Bacterial small subunit ribosomal RNA
Source: RNAcentral
CCUACGGGUGGCAGCAGUGGGGAAUAUUGGACAAUGGGCGAAAGCCUGAUCCAGCCAUGCCGCGUGUGUGAAGAAGGCCUUCGGGUUGUAAAGCACUUUCAGUGGGGAAGAAAGCCUUGGGGCUAAUACCCUCGAGGAAGGACAUCACCCACAGAAGAAGCACCGGCUAACUCCGUGCCAGCAGCCGCGGUAAUACGGAGGGUGCGAGCGUUAAUCGGAAUUACUGGGCGUAAAGCGCGCGUAGGCGGUCUGAUAAGCCGGUUGUGAAAGCCCCGGGCUCAAACUGGGAACGGCAUCCGGAACUGUCAGGCUAGAGUGCAGGAGAGGAAGGUAGAUUUCCCGGUGUAGCGGUGAAAUGCGUAGAGAUCGGGAGGAAUACCAGUGGCGAAGGCGGCCUUCUGGACUGACACUGACGCUGAGGUGCGAAAGCGUGGGUAGCAAACAGGAUUAGAUACCCCGGUAGUC